Alnus glutinosa is the source of this 364-nucleotide long non-coding RNA. RefSeq lists it as uncharacterized. NCBI's taxonomy places the organism in Eukaryota, Viridiplantae, Streptophyta, Magnoliopsida, Fagales, Betulaceae. The record is from RefSeq and is a predicted model, not a curated record. The transcript is spliced from 3 exons.
AGAAGCUGAAGUGAAAGUGUGAAAGUGUGAAAUUCAGAAACUUUGAAGUGUGGAAGUUUAACAUUUUUUUGAGGUGUUGAAGUCUUGAAGAGCAUAAGAAGGAAGAGGACAAGAGGUUUUUCAUUAUUUUUGGGCAUUGCUUCUCUAUUAUACUUGUGCUGAUCUUGUGACUUUUGUCUACAAGUGUCUACAGCGACUACCGAACGAGCAUUCUCAGCUAUGAAAAUUGUUAAAACAAGACUUCGCAACAAAAUGGAAGAUGAAUUUCUUGCAAAUAGUUUAGUUGUGUAUAUUGAAAGGGAAAUUGCUGAGAGCUUCAAUUUAGAUUCGAUACUUGAUGAUUUUGUUUCUCUAAAAAGACGUA